GGCUUAAGGGCACCACAAGAACGCGUGGAGCAUGUGGCUUAAUUUGACUCAACGCGGGAAAUCUUACCGGGUCCGGACACACUGAGGAUUGACAGGCGCUUGAAGCNUUCGGGUUUCUAUAAAUAUGCUAGUCCUUUCAUGAUUGUGUGAUAGGUGGUGCAUGGCCGUUCUUAGUUCGUGGAGUGAUCUGUCUGCUUAAUUGCGUUUCAGAAAAUAGGUUCUUAGAGGUAUUGUUGUGUGGUGUGACCGUUCUUCGGAACGUUGUCCCCGCACACAACCCGUGAACCUUGAAGGCAACGAACGUGACCGCAACCUCUUGUUGCCUCUCUUCCGUCUUUUGGUGGACUGCUGCCUCGUGAUUUUCCUUUUAGGACGUCAUGGGGAUUAGUAGAGCGGAGCGCAAACUAGAGGGACCGCCGACCUUUUUAAAACGGAGGAAGGUUGCGGCAAUAACAGGUCUGUGAUGCCCUUAGAUGUUCCGGGCUGCACACGUGCUACAAUGAUUGUUGCAGUGAGCAUCUUAAAAGUUCGCAUGGUAGCUUGCUACUGUUGCGACACACCUACUUCGAAAGUAAGUAGGUAAUCAAUUCGAAGUAACGAUUUCCUUUGCACAUUAAUGUCUCAAGAGUGUUUUUUCGAAGACAUUCUUGGGAUGUGCUCCAUUAAUUCAUGGUGGGGACAGACCAUUGCAAUUGUUGGUCUCGGUCUUAACUAGGAAUGCCUUGUACGGGUCAUGGUUCAACAGACCACCCGGAAUAUGUCCCUGCCCUUUGUACGCACCGCCCGUCGCUCUUACCGAUGGACUUCUCUGUGAGUUUGAGGGACUGGCUUUUUUGCUAUGGAAACUUAAACGAACAGUGUGGUCUAAAGGAAAGAGAAGUCGAACAAGGCA
Molecule: ribosomal RNA, 892 nt
Filed under: uncultured soil foraminiferan
Lineage: Eukaryota; Foraminifera
Description: SSU rRNA
Rfam family: Eukaryotic small subunit ribosomal RNA
Source: RNAcentral